RNA transcript from Tetranychus urticae (two-spotted spider mite), 1904 nucleotides. It is a transcript of the gene named sodium/hydrogen exchanger 9B2 pseudogene, with no coding region annotated. NCBI's taxonomy places the organism in Eukaryota, Metazoa, Arthropoda, Arachnida, Trombidiformes, Tetranychidae. The record is from RefSeq and is a predicted model, not a curated record.
GUAUAAUGCUAAUUGUGUUUCAUUAGUUUCAAUAGUUAAUUCAAAAAUUUUAUUUCAACAAGUUUGCUUUCUGAUUGCAUCUACACUUUUAUAACUUCAGCUUCAAUUCAAGUUAAAGUAAAAUUAUAACAAAAGUUAUUUUUCAGCUAUUUUUCAUAUAUAACAUUUGUGCUUCCAAUAAGAUACAAGAAAAUUGUAUUUUAUUAAUUCGCCUUCAACUUACGUUGAAAAUCAAAAUAACUUUAUACACCUUAUUCUGAAGUCUUUAUAGUAUGUCCGUGCUGAAGUCUUUUAAUACCAGAUUUACAUCUUUUGGUUCCUCCAAAACAGUGGAGCCAAAUUACGACGGUUAUCGUGAAGCCCUUGACCUUUACUAUUUUCGUCCAGUUCAUUCAAUUGAUCCGCUCUAUUGGAAAACAUAAUGAGCUUCAAGGUAACAGCCAUUACCUUUUGUCAAAUAAUUUUGACUCAGGUUGCUCUAUUUGUUGUCAUUUGGUCAACUUGUUACGGUAUCUCACCUGUUGCUGCCCUGCCAUGGAAUGGAAGUGUUUUUGCCUUUAUGAUCUUAUUCGCAAUCGCAUAUGUAGCCGGUCAAUUGUGUUCGCUAAUUCGUGUUCCACCGUUAGUUGGCAUGCUUAUAGCUGGUAUAAUUUUGUCCAAUCUAACCCAGAUCCCGUUAGAUCCGGAAACAUCUUCCCUUGCUCGUGAUCUGGCUUUAGGUGUUAUCUUAUUACGAGCGGGUACAUCACUCGAUCCCGGUGCCUUAAAGAAGCUUUCUCUGGUUUGCUUGAGAUUGGCAUUCACUCCUUGUAUUGUUGAAACGAUAGUUUUGGCUGUUACCACUCACUUGUUGCUACACAUUCCCUUUCUUUGGUGUAUGGUUCUUGGUUUUGUUUGCGUUGCAACUUCACCUGCCGUUAUUGUUCCAGCAAUGAUCAACAUCCAAGAUUUAGGAUAUGGAAUUGAUAAAGGUAUUCCAACCUUGAUUAUGGGAGGAUCGUCUGUCGAUGAUAUUAUGGCCAUCACUUGUUUUCAAAUAUUUUUAAGUUUGGUCAUGUCAACAUCAGGUUCCAUUUUAUCCACUCUUCUUGGUCCCAUUGAAGCAGUUGGAGGAUUGGCACUAGGAACUGCUCUUGGCCUUUUAUUUUGGAUUUUACCACCAAAAUGUGAUCCAGAUGAUCUUGAAUCACGAGCGUUAGGCAGCAAAAUAAGGUUUGCGUUUCUUUUCUUCACUGGAAUAAGCUUCAUCAUUACAACCAAAGCAUUGGGAUGCGAAUCAAUGGGUCCAUUGGGUGUAUUAUCAAUGAGCUUUGUUGCAUCUCUUAGAUGGCGUUCAGAAGGUUAUUUAGAUAACAUGAACUCUAGUUUACGAGAUGUUUGGUUUUUCUGUGAAAUCUUUUUGUUCAGUUUAAUUGGUUACGAAGUUAAAUUCACUUCUCUUGAGUCAACCACAGUUUUAUGGUCCCUAGUCUGCCUAGUAAUUGGAUCAAUUGCACGGACAAUAGUUUCAUUUUUUAUUGUUGCUGGAGCUGGUCUUUCGGUUAAGGAGCGUCUAUUUAUCGCUAUGGCCUGGCUACCUAAAGGAACUGUUCAAGCAGCCAUCGGUUCCAUUCCUCUAGAGAUGGCGAGAAGGAAAAAUGAUGAAACUAUGAUUGGCUAUGGUUUGGUCAUCUUAACUUAUGCCGUUUUAUCCAUAAUAUUAUCUGCACCUUUAGGAGCUUUCUUGAUGAGCUUUUUUGGCCCUAAACUUUUGCAAAAAUCAACUAAGAAUCAAACUGAAGGUUCAUUGGAAGCAAAUGUUAGCAAACAUCCCGUUUGAUCAUGAUUGAUCAUUACUUUCGAAACUGUUAUUAAGUUUUGACUCAGAUUUUUGUUAAUAGCAAUAAAAUAAUGGGAAAUAUUAA